AACAGGAUUAGAUACCCUGGUAGUCCACGCCCUAAACGAUGUCAACUGGUUGUUGGGUCUUCACUGACUCAGUAACGAAGCUAACGCGUGAAGUUGACCGCCUGGGGAGUACGGCCGCAAGGUUGAAACUCAGAGGAAUUGACGGGGACCCGCACAAGCGGUGGAUGAUGUGGUUUAAUUCGAUGCAACGCGAAAAACCUUACCCACCUUUGACAUGUACGGAAUCCUUUAGAGAUAGAGGAGUGCUCGAAAGAGAACCGUAACACAGGUGCUGCAUGGCUGUCGUCAGCUCGUGUCGUGAGAUGUUGGGUUAAGUCCCGCAACGAGCGCAACCCUUGCCAUUAGUUGCUACGAAAGGGCACUCUAAUGGGACUGCCGGUGACAAACCGGAGGAAGGUGGGGAUGACGUCAAGUCCUCAUGGCCCUUAUAGGUGGGGCUACACACGUCAUACAAUGGCUGGUACAGAGGGUUGCCAACCCGCGAGGGGGAGCCAAUCCCAUAAAGCCAGUCGUAGUCCGGAUCGCAGUCUGCAACUCGACUGCGUGAAGUCGGAAUCGCUAGUAAUCGCGGAUCAGAAUGUCGCGGUGAAUACGUUCCCGGGUCUUGUACACACCGCCCGUCACACCAUGGGAGCGGGUUCUGCCAGAAGUAGUUAGCCUAACCGCAAGGAGGGCGAUUACCACGGCAGGGUUCGUACUGGGGUGAAGUCGUAACAAGGUAACC
RNAcentral lists this ribosomal RNA (724 nucleotides) under uncultured bacterium. RNAcentral's name for it is "bacterial SSU rRNA". It matches the Rfam family "Bacterial small subunit ribosomal RNA", at positions 771 to 1501 of the family's 1533-position model. The record is from RNAcentral.